AACGAACGCUGGCGGUAUGCUUUACACAUGCAAGUCGAACGAGAAAACCACUUCGGUGGCAAGUACAGUGGCGCACGGGUGAGUAACGCGUAGAUAAUCUACCCCAUAGUCUGGGACAACUUUUCGAAAGAAAAGCUAAUACCGGAUAAUAUCUAGGACCGAAUGGUCUCUGAUUAAAAGAUUUAUCGCUAUGGGAUGAGUCUGCGUACCAUUAGCUAGUAGGUAGGGUAACGGCCUACCUAGGCGUCGAUGGUUAGCGGGUCUGAGAGGAUGAUCCGCCACACUGGAACUGAGACACGGUCCAG
RNAcentral lists this ribosomal RNA (305 nucleotides) under uncultured bacterium. Its description in RNAcentral is "bacterial SSU rRNA". It matches the Rfam family "Bacterial small subunit ribosomal RNA", at positions 29 to 334 of the family's 1533-position model. The record is from RNAcentral.